GGAAGGAUCAUUAACACUGAGUCGCCUAUUCGAAAGGAUAGGUACGACUUGCCAACUCGUGCACUGAUUGUUUAUAAAUCUCUUGGUAAAACAAGAGGUUUGCUGCCCCGUCCUAAUUAUCUAUAAACUUGUUUAUAGGUACUUGGUAAGGCGGGCUCCAGCAACUUAAACUAUUUCACAUACCCUUCUCACGAUGUUUAAUACUGAUGAUACGUGAAACUAGCGAAAGCUAGACCUUCACAAAUUUUAACGAGAGACAACUCUUAACAACGGAUAUCUUGGCUCUCGCAUCGAUGAAGAACGCAGCGAAAUGCGAUAACUAGUGUGAAUUGCAGAAUCCAGUGAAUCAUCGAACCUUUGAACGCACAUUGCGCCUCUGGGCACUCCCAGGGGCACGCCUGCUUGAGUGCCACCUAACUACCUCACUAACCGACUUGUUCGGCACAAGUGGAGCUGAGCUGUCGAAAUAACUACGCAAGUAGUAUAAUUCCGUCGCUUGAAAGUUAGUGGUAUGAUUCAGGUUUUCAUUUCCUGUUCAAGCGUGGUACGCCUUUUUAAGGCAUUCCGCUUUUACCUUGCUUUUAUCUUCACUUCGGUGUCUAUAAAGGGGGAUUUGAUCACCUACUAUAAUCAGCCAAAGUCAAAAACGGGAGAUUGCAAAAUCUUUUAUUUUUGGCCUCAAGUCAGACGAGGUUACCCGCUGAAUUUAAGCAUAUUAUUAAGCGGAGGAAAAGAAACUAACAAGGAUUCCCCUAGUAGCGGCGAGUGAAGCGGGAAUAGCUCAAGCCUAAAAUCUGCAGGGUUCCCCUGCCGAAUUGUAGUCUAUAGGAGCGUUUUCUGGGACCGGCCGGGUAUAAAUCCCUUGGAACGGGGUAUCAUAGAGGGUGACAAUCCCGUCUGUGACUCGGAUUUUGGUUCCUGUACGAUACGUCUCCAGAGAGUCGGGUUGUUUGGGACUGCAGCCCUAACUGGGUGGUAAACCCCAUCCAAAGCUAAAUAUCGGCGAGAGACCGAUAGCGAACAAGUACCGUGAGGGAAAGAUGCAAAGAACUUUGAAAAGAGAGUUAAAUAGUGCUUGAAAUUGUUAAGAGGAAAGCGAUUGAAGCCAGUGUUUUAUCUAUGUCGGAUUCAGCGGUAGGUGCUAAACCUCCAGGAUUUUCAGGGACCGCAAGGCCCGGGUUCUGGUGUGGGAGGUUCCUGCUGUGUACUUCCGGCGUAGGUAGGCCAACAUCAGUUCUGCUGACUUCAUACGGCCCUAGGGAAGGUAGCUUCAUUCGUGAAGUGUUAUAGCCCUGGGUGUCCUGUGGUUGGUGGGACUGAGGAUUCGUCUGUAUGCGCUUUGCGGGUCAAGUAGUCGCCGUUGUUCACAUUUGGUUGGAAUGCUUGCAUUGUCUCUGAAUGUUGGGCUUCGCACGGUUACACGACUCCUGCAUACAAGGGAUGUUGGCAAUACGGCUUUAAUCGGCCCGUCUUGAAACACGGACCAAGGAGUCUAACAAGUAUGCGAGUCCUCGGGUGUCAAACCCAUGGGCGCAGUGAAAGCGAGAACGGUGGGAUCACUCACGUGUGCACCACCGGCCGACCAUGAUCACUCUGUGAAAGGUUUGAGUAUGAGCAUACAUGUUGGGACCCGAAAGAUGGUGAACUAUGCCUGACUAGGGCGAAGCCAGAGGAAACUCUGGUGGAGGCUCGAAGCGGUUCUGACGUGCAAAUCGAUCGUCAAAGUUGGGUAUAGGGGCGAAAGACUAAUCGAACCAUCUAGUAGCUGGUUCCCUC
RNAcentral lists this unclassified non-coding RNA (1776 nucleotides) under uncultured fungus. RNAcentral's name for it is "sequence contains 18S rRNA gene, ITS1, 5.8S rRNA gene, ITS2, 28S rRNA gene". The stretch from base 674 to 1776 matches the Rfam family "Eukaryotic large subunit ribosomal RNA", at positions 1 to 961 of the family's 3401-position model. The record is from RNAcentral. Lineage: Eukaryota; Fungi.